AGGGCGCAUUGAACGAAAAGGCCGGCGCUUGCGCCGGCCGAGGGAGGAUGGGGUCGUCUCUCGGGGCGGCCCCCGCACUCCCGGGGCGUCUCGUCCUACCGCGGCUCGUCCGCGGAAGGUGAGGCGCACCAAGAGCGCACGCGUCGGUACCCGAAAGAUGGUGAACUAUGCCUGGCCAGGACGAAGCCAGGGGAAACCCUGGUGGAGGUCCGUAGCGAUUCUGACGUGCAAAUCGAUCGUCAGAGCUGGGUAUAGGGGCGAAAGACUAAUCGAACCAUCUAGUAGCUGGUUCCCUCCGAAGUUUCCCUCAGGAUAGCUGGCGCUCGUAGAACCGAGUCCCAUCCGGUAAAGCGAAUGAUUAGAGGCUAUGGGGUCGAAACGAUCUCAACCUAUUCUCAAACUCUAAAUGGGUGGGAACUCGUGCUUGCUUAAAUGGUGAAGCACGAGGUUUUCGGAUCGGAGUGCCCAGUGGGCCACUUUUGGUAAGCAGAACUGGCGCUGUGGGAUGAACCAAACGCCGGGUUAAGGCGCCCGAACGGACGCUCAUGUGAAACCAUGAAAGGUGUUGGUUGCUUAAGACAGCAGGACGGUGGCCAUGGAAGUCGGA
Molecule: ribosomal RNA, 607 nt
Filed under: Afronurus sp. 4 ZY-2016
Lineage: Eukaryota; Metazoa; Arthropoda; Insecta; Ephemeroptera; Heptageniidae
Description: eukaryotic LSU rRNA
Rfam family: Eukaryotic large subunit ribosomal RNA
Source: RNAcentral